This is a long non-coding RNA of Physeter macrocephalus (sperm whale), 495 nucleotides long. RefSeq lists it as uncharacterized. The transcript has 3 exons. Lineage: Eukaryota; Metazoa; Chordata; Mammalia; Artiodactyla; Physeteridae. The record is from RefSeq and is a predicted model, not a curated record.
AACUUGGAUUCCACCUCUUAGUGGGAAGAUCUGAAGUCACAUUCCAGUGGCAUGGAUGUGAAAAGAUGAAGAAUUUGCAGUAAUUUUAAAAUCUACCACAUGACUGGGGGCAUAAAUCGAAUACUCCAUCUACAUAGCCAAGCUCUAUAGGAGAACACAGCCUGUAAAUCCAGAAGACCUGAGUUCAUGUCUUUUUCUACUGGUUGUUAUUUAAACAUUCUAACUUGCGAGAGCCUCAGGGACUCACCAGCUCAGCCCCCAAAUCUUCAGAGGUUCACAGACUUCUGUCUGGGGCAUCUCCUACUCGGAGGCGGGUAAGAAUAGAUAUAUAUAGGGAGGCAGUGUGCAAGAGAGGACUCAGAGCCCCUCCAAUCCCACACAAUACAGCAGGAACUGCAGAAACAAGAGCAAAGCUGUGGGACCAGCAAAAUGCCAGACGCCCCACGCUAGUUCCUAGCGUUUCAGCGGCGGUUCGCUGGACAGCGACAGGAUGAC